AGUGAACGCUGGCGGUAGGCCUAACACAUGCAAGUCGAACGGCAGCACAGUAAGAGCUUGCUCUUACGGGUGGCGAGUGGCGGACGGGUGAGGAAUACAUCGGAAUCUACUUUUUCGUGGGGGAUAACGUAGGGAAACUUACGCUAAUACCGCAUACGACCUACGGGUGAAAGCAGGGGAUCUUCGGACCUUGCGCGAUUGAAUGAGCCGAUGUCGGAUUAGCUAGUUGGCGGGGUAAAGGCCCACCAAGGCGACGAUCCGUAGCUGGUCUGAGAGGAUGAUCAGCCACACUGGAACUGAGACACGGUCCAGACUCCUACGGGAGGCAGCAGUGGGGAAUAUUGGACAAUGGGCGCAUGCCUGAUCCAGCCAUACCGCGUGGGUGAAGAAGGCCUUCGGGUUGUAAAGCCCUUUUGUUGGGAAAGAAAAGCAGCAGGUUAAUACCCCGCUGUUCUGGCGGUACCCAAAGAAUAAGCACCGGCUAACUUCGUG
RNAcentral lists this ribosomal RNA (492 nucleotides) under uncultured bacterium. RNAcentral's name for it is "partial 16S ribosomal RNA". It matches the Rfam family "Bacterial small subunit ribosomal RNA", at positions 29 to 507 of the family's 1533-position model. The record is from RNAcentral.